Molecule: long non-coding RNA, 1367 nt
Filed under: Homo sapiens (human)
Lineage: Eukaryota; Metazoa; Chordata; Mammalia; Primates; Hominidae
Description: HSALNT0401962
Source: RNAcentral
UGGGAGGCCAAGGUGGGUGGAUCACCUGACGUCAGAAGCUCGAGACCAGCCUGGCUAACAUAAUGAAGCCCCGUCUCUACUAAAAAUACAAAUAUUAGCCGGGCAUAGUGGCACGUGCCUGUAGUCCCAGCUUCUCGGGAGGCUGAGGCAGGAGAAUCGCUUGAACCCGGGAGGCGGAGGUUGCAGUGAGCCAAGAUCACACCACUGCACUCCAGCCUGGGCGACAGAGGGAGACACUGUCUCCAAAAGAAAGAAAUCCCAGCGUAGAUCCAAACUGAGACACUGAGGCUUCGUCCUUAUAGUAGUCAGGAGCAGGCGAUUGAAGUAAUUCUGUCCUGCGGGGUUCAGCAUCAUGCACGUUCCCCCUGGGCCAUUCUCUGAUGCAGGGCACUUGCUCCACACUCUGGGAACCCAGAUUCACCAGUCUGCCCUGUCACGUAGUUGAAGGAGUUGCAUUUAUCUUUCUGGCUCCUAAUUCCUUUAAAAUUACAUUUGUUGCAGAACCUCCACAAGGCUAAAUAAAAUUACAUUUGUGACCAUCAGAGAACUGAAUAAACCAUUAACUGGCCAUCCUGGUUUUGCAGAGAUCAGGUUGUUGACAGUUCCUGGUUGACCCACAGCUACCCAUGUCAGUUAUCUCCACUAACAUAUCCAAGAAUCUUUGUAGGACAAUUUCUCCACCUGCAAGGUCUUUCAGGUAGAACUCUUCUUUUAAGGCAAUUAGCCCAUUGCCAAAAGGUUUUACUGUCUUAAAGCUGUCUUUCUGAGAUCUAAUUCCAAGGACUUCUCCACAGCUAAGUGAGAUGCCUCACACCAUUAGGUGAUGCUUUGGACAGAACAGAGUAUUUUCAUCUUGUGUUUAAAGCAAUUCCUUGGCUUCGGCUCCUCACCACUUUCUAUGCCAGUCUCCCAUUUAUGUCCCUAGUAAUGCCUAUGCAAAAAAAAAAAAAGAAAAAAAAGAAAAACUGAUGGUGAAACCUACAGGUUUAAGGGCUUAAAUCUCAAACUUUGUUAGGAGUAACAGGAGCGUGCUGAGCGGGCAAGCAAUAAAACAAAUCAUACCAAAAAGCCACAUUGCUCUCUCCUAAGCCCCAACCCCACUCCACUCCUGUGGCCAGGGGUCCAAACAGAAAAUAACCGGAGAAGACAAGGAGGUCAAAGGAUCAGGGAACUAAGCAUUAUGUGAAUUCACCAGCAAGAUGUACAGAACGCCUGUGUUUACAUUGUUUUUAUGGAACUAGCAGAAUAAAACAUCUAUUUUAAAAAUGAAAGCCAUUGUUUCUCUAAUUUAUCUGACAAAGUGAGCAGCUUAAAUUCUGUGAAACAUCUUUAUAGUUUAUGAACUUUUUUAUAUUCCUUCUGGUAAG